UGGUUCAGGCAUGCAAGUCGAACGAUGGUGAGAGAAAUCGAACCAUAGUGGCAGAAGGGUUAGUAACACGUGGGCAAUCUACCCCCGAAUCGGGGAUAACAUUUCGAAAGAAGUGCUAAUACCCGAUGACACCCAAUCCUCGCAUGAGGGAUGGGUCAAAGGUAGCUUCGCAAGGAGCUUCCGUUUGAGGAGGAGCCCGCGGCCUAUCAGCUAGUUGGUGAGGUAACGGCCCACCAAGGCUUUUGACGGGUAGCUGGUCUAAGAGGACGAUCAGCAACAUUGGGACUGAGACACUGCCCAGACUCCUACGGGAGGCUGCAGUCGAGGAUCUUUAGCAAUGCCCGAAAGGGUGACUAUGCGACGCCGCGUGGAGGACGAAGGCCUUCGGGUUGUAAACUCC
Molecule: ribosomal RNA, 400 nt
Filed under: uncultured organism
Description: bacterial SSU rRNA
Rfam family: Bacterial small subunit ribosomal RNA
Source: RNAcentral